GCAGCAAUACAGUCGCAGAACACAAUAAAUAAAUAAAUAAAUUGCAGAAUAAUAAAAGACACAGAAAGUUGUUAACCCAGUUCAGUGCAACGUCACCUACUCUGGGGGAUACCAAUCCAGGAAUGAAUCCACUAUAAUAGCUCUAGUUCAAAGCCCUCGACCAACACCCGGUACUUGACUUAUCACCUAGACACUACCCGUGCAAUCCUACCUAAGAACCUCUUAGAUAAUGAGACCCCGUCCCAAAUUUCCUCUAACAACACAUACCAUGUUGCUGUCAAUAACAAUAAUCAGGAUGGAGACACUCUCCUAGAAACUAGACCACACUCUU
Molecule: long non-coding RNA, 331 nt
Filed under: Trifolium pratense (red clover)
Lineage: Eukaryota; Viridiplantae; Streptophyta; Magnoliopsida; Fabales; Fabaceae
Description: long non-coding RNA (TPRA_LNC014060)
Source: RNAcentral